UUUUAGCCCCGAUUGAAGUGAAAAUCCUUUUUUUGCAAAAAAAAAAGAUUGCAACGGAAAGCGGGAAUAGCU
Molecule: small RNA, 72 nt
Filed under: Chryseobacterium scophthalmum
Lineage: Bacteria; Pseudomonadati; Bacteroidota; Flavobacteriia; Flavobacteriales; Weeksellaceae
Description: Flavo-1 RNA
Rfam family: Flavo-1 RNA
Source: RNAcentral